Ruditapes philippinarum (Manila clam) is the source of this 1569-nucleotide long non-coding RNA. RefSeq lists it as uncharacterized. The transcript has 6 exons. Lineage: Eukaryota; Metazoa; Mollusca; Bivalvia; Venerida; Veneridae. The record is from RefSeq and is a predicted model, not a curated record.
UUUUUUUCUUGACUAGGUAAGACUUGCAUCAUCUGGCAACCAGGAAGUUCCUUCAGAGUUUACCAUCAGAUCAAACCAGGCACAAGUUUUUCCCCAUUUUGUUACCUAGGAUGUGUCGUAAUAGAUAUAACAUAGCUGAAGGUCUCCCCGUAUUUACUCACAGGACACAUGGAAACAAGUGAUGGGAGAGCAGGGGAAACAACUGGUACAUCGGACAAGUGGUUGACUUAUACAUGUAUAUAGAAGGGAUAUGGGCAGACAACCAUGCUGUGAGAGAAGCUGCCUGUGCGUGUAUUGCAGAACUUGGAGGUGAACAAAGAUGUUGUGGACAUGUAUGUUCCAAUGUUGUUAGAGGCUCUUCUAAUCUGUUUAAGUGAUGACAGCUGGACAGUUAGAGAUGGUAAAAUGUGUCAUCUAUACCAGCAUUGUAUCCAUGAUUUUUCAACAAUCUACAAGAAAAUAUACCGUCAGUGCGGCAGGGGGCGGCCCUUGCUCUCCUCAGAGCAUAUGAUCAAAUAAACAUUUCAAGAUCUGAUAUGAAGAUAAUUGCAGAGGAGGUGUUUUAUGCUGUGCCCCUUGAGGAGAAAGAAAUAGUCUCUAUAGUUUCCAGUGCCGUAGAUGAAUUCUAGGAACAAAGACAGUAUAACAAGCCAUUUACCGAUCUCCACCUUUCAGAAGCAUUUUAUACACAUGAAGAGAUUUGCUCAGAUUUGAUAAGUAACAGUAGACGUAUGUUCAAGAAACUAAUGUUUGGUUUAUAUGGAAACUUAUUAGAAACAUUUAUAAAGAGGAAGAAUAUGAUUCUCCCGUUGCUUGGCACAAACCAAAACUAACAAGUUUUAUAGAGGUGCUUCCCCUUCGACCAACAUAGAUGUGUUAAAACCCCUGGUUCAGUUAGCAGUUAUUGACAUAUUAGGUUUAAAUGGGGCCAAAAAAUCGUUGGAAAGACUAAAUGGGGGUAUUUGUAAAAAGAAGGAUCUUGUUGACUCAAUUUUGGUGCAAGAAUUGCCCGAAAAAGAGCCUGUGUGGGCUAAUUAUGAUGACGAUGAAUUAGCAGUGAAAAUGCAACUAACUGAAACAAUAUUUAAUGAUUUAUUGACAGAUACUGUUGAGACAAUGAACAAAAUCUUCCGCAAGAAACAAACUUUGCAGCAGCAGACAUAGGCAGCUUUUUGAUCUGGAUUAUGUAAAAGAUUUUCUGAUCUGUUUUCAUGCAGAUGCUUUUUAUAUGCCCGAAAGAAUUUCGAGCAUAUUAUGUUAUACCCCCUGGCGUCCGUCCGUACGUCCGUCCGUCCGUUCCUUCCAUUAGCAAUUUGGUUUCCAGAGCAUAACUUAAGUUCCAUUUGGCCCACAAUAUUCAAACUUCAUAGGUUGAUUAUCCAUAUUGGGUUGAAGACCCCUAUUGAUUUUGGGGUCACAAGGUCAAAGGUCAAGGUCACUAUUACCUUAAAACUGAAAACAAUUUCCGGAGCAUAACAUUAGUUCAAUUUGGCCCAGAGUGUUCAAACUUCAUAGGAUGAUUGUCCAUAUUGGGUAGCAGACCCCUAUUGAUUUAGGAGUCACAAGGUC